UUGACCUCGAAUCAGGUAGGAGGACCCGCUGAACUUAAGCAUAUCAAUAAGCGGAGGA
RNAcentral lists this ribosomal RNA (58 nucleotides) under Parasporendocladia bactrospora. RNAcentral's name for it is "Sporendocladia bactrospora partial 28S ribosomal RNA". It matches the Rfam family "Eukaryotic large subunit ribosomal RNA", at positions 1 to 57 of the family's 3401-position model. Lineage: Eukaryota; Fungi; Ascomycota; Sordariomycetes; Chaetosphaeriales; Chaetosphaeriaceae. The record is from RNAcentral.